This 1281-nucleotide long non-coding RNA is filed under the name Canis lupus dingo (dingo). Its description in RNAcentral is "lncRNA (ENSCAFG00020019417.1)". The record is from RNAcentral. Lineage: Eukaryota; Metazoa; Chordata; Mammalia; Carnivora; Canidae.
GCAGCGAGAGGGGCCGCGGUCCGCCCGCCCGCCGCACAUCUGCUGGCGGAGCCGAGGCUGGAAGGCACCGGCCGGCGCGCGCCCCCGUCCGCAGACGCUUCCCUGUCCGCGGGCCCGCCUGGCUCCCGGCGGCGGCGCGGGCUGCAGGGGCUCGCGGCGGGCAGCGGCGCCCGCCCCUCCGGCUCCGGGUCCAACCCUGCCUUCAGCCCCGGGCGCCACGGGGCGUCCCCGCCGCCGGCACUCCGCUGGGCGCUGGGGGCUCGUCUGCCGACGCCCCGGUUAGGGACGCAGCCUGCAGGUCGGGGCUCGUCCUCCACGUCCUCCGGGCCCGGACACGCCGGCCGCGGCCGUGGGGCGGGCGAGCGCGGAGCAAGGCGCUCCCGGCGGAGGCAGCGCGCGGCCCGGGUGCCCGGGGCAUCCCCGCGGCGGGGGGGCGGGGGGCGGAAGGCCGGCGGGGCGGGCGGCAGGAAGGGUCGGCGGCGCCCGAGCUCCGCCCCUCCGGCCGCCAGCCCGCGGGCCCGCACGGUGAGUGGCAGCGGCCGGGGGGCGGCGCCAGCGGAGGGGGCGGGGCCGCGCGCGCUGAUUGGCGGCGGGGGCCGGGGGCGGGGCCGGCGGCGGGGCGGGGGCGGCGGCGGGGCGGGGCCGGGGCGGGCCGGGGGCGGGGCGGGCCGCGGGCGCUGGAGCUGCGGGCGGACAGGCGGGCGGACGGGCUGGCGGCUCGGGCCGCUGCAGCGGAGUCGGAGGAGGCGGCGGGCGCGGCGAGCGCGGCGGGCUAGCGGGUCGGAGGCGCCGCGCUCGGACCGGGGACGGCGAGCGGGUCGGGGCCGGGUCAGAGGCGCGUCGGAGGCCGCCGCCGCUGCAGCCCGGGCCCCCGCGGAGGAAGGAAGCCGGCCGGCGGGGGAGGUAGGCGGCGGCGGCGGGUCCGGGUGUGUGUGCGCCCGGGAGGGGGAGGCCGUGCGUGCGCGCGGCGGCGGCCGCUCUCUUCCUGUCACCAGCCGCCGCCGCUGCAGAGCCGAGCCGGGAGGGAAGCGGGCCGCCGGCCUCACGGGUUCGCGGCCCGGCCCUGCGUGCUCCGGCCGCCCCCGAGCUCCCGAGUCCCGGGCCCUGUUCGGCGCUGGCCCUGCACGCCGCCGGGCUCCGAGCGCCCCGAGUUGCGGGCGCUGCGGGGCCCGUCCGCACCCCUCCGCUCCCGCGCACUUGGGAGGAUCCUUACGGUCGCCGGCUGCGGUUUUCCGGGGUCCUUCACCGAGGAGAGCGCGCAGCCCGUUGCCCUGGAGUUAG